AAAUGUUAAGGGCAACCUUGGUUGAAAAACCAAGGACGCAAAGUCACCGGUCUAAGGUAAGCAGCUUGCUACUAUGACAGCGGAACCGCCAUA
Methylobacillus flagellatus KT is the source of this 93-nucleotide regulatory RNA element. It matches the Rfam family "c-di-GMP-I riboswitch aptamer". From Rfam's summary of the family: GEMM was predicted in a large-scale screen for bacterial structured RNA regulatory elements. Lineage: Bacteria; Pseudomonadati; Pseudomonadota; Betaproteobacteria; Nitrosomonadales; Methylophilaceae. The record is from Rfam.